GCGCACGCUUUGGCAGCACAUAUACUAAAAUUGCAGUGAUACACAGAAGAUUAGCCUGGCCCCUGUGCAAGAAUGACACACAAAUUAGUGAAGCAUUCCACAUUUUU
Loxodonta africana (African savanna elephant) is the source of this 107-nucleotide small nuclear RNA. NCBI's taxonomy places the organism in Eukaryota, Metazoa, Chordata, Mammalia, Proboscidea, Elephantidae. The record is from Rfam.